Molecule: ribosomal RNA, 440 nt
Filed under: Duganella sp. SCN37108
Lineage: Bacteria; Pseudomonadati; Pseudomonadota; Betaproteobacteria; Burkholderiales; Oxalobacteraceae
Description: bacterial SSU rRNA
Rfam family: Bacterial small subunit ribosomal RNA
Source: RNAcentral
AGUUACGCUAAUACCGCAUACGAUCUAAGGAUGAAAGCAGGGGACCGCAAGGCCUUGUGCUCCUGGAGCGGCCGAUAUCUGAUUAGCUAGUUGGUGAGGUAAAGGCUCACCAAGGCGACGAUCAGUAGCUGGUCUGAGAGGACGACCAGCCACACUGGAACUGAGACACGGUCCAGACUCCUACGGGAGGCAGCAGUGGGGAAUUUUGGACAAUGGGGGCAACCCUGAUCCAGCAAUGCCGCGUGAGUGAAGAAGGCCUUCGGGUUGUAAAGCUCUUUUGUCAGGGAAGAAAAGGUCGUGGCUAAUAUCCACGGCUCAUGACGGUACCUGAAGAAUAAGCACCGGCUAACUACGUGCCAGCAGCCGCGGUAAUACGUAGGGUGCAAGCGUUAAUCGGAAUUACUGGGCGUAAAGCGUGCGCAGGCGGUUUUGUAAGUCUG